RNAcentral lists this long non-coding RNA (338 nucleotides) under Capsicum annuum. Its description in RNAcentral is "long non-coding RNA (CANN_LNC022608)". Lineage: Eukaryota; Viridiplantae; Streptophyta; Magnoliopsida; Solanales; Solanaceae. The record is from RNAcentral.
UUUCUGGGGGUUACAUUUACAACAAUUCAUGGAGGAGGAACCAGUGGCGUCGGAGACAGCGAGUCGCCGUAUGGUGAGUUUUCUUCUUUUUUUAAAAAUUCAACAGCAUUUAUGCGAUUAAGUUAAUAUUUGAGCCCUAAUCAUGGAGUUAAUGAUGUACAGAAACGAACCAGAGCUCAAACUAGGGUUAACGAAGAGCAAUUACACGGCAGUGUGAAUGAGGAAGAAAGAGAAGAAUCUUCCGACGAUUUUGAAGACUCUCGUGCUAGAGCUAAGCGGAGUAAGGUUUUAAGAGGCACUUCAUCUGUUGCUGCUAGAAAUGCUCAUCAGAGUUUAAU